GUCUACGGCCAUGCUACCCUGAACAAGCCUGAUCCCAUCUAAUCUCAUAAGCUAAGCAGGGUUGGGCCUGGUUACUACUUGGAUGGGAGACCACCUAGGAAGACCAGGUGCUGUAGGUG
This 119-nucleotide ribosomal RNA is filed under the name Pteropus alecto (black flying fox). The record is from RNAcentral. Lineage: Eukaryota; Metazoa; Chordata; Mammalia; Chiroptera; Pteropodidae.